Long non-coding RNA from Lontra canadensis (Northern American river otter), 341 nucleotides. RefSeq lists it as uncharacterized. The transcript has 3 exons. The record is from RefSeq and is a predicted model, not a curated record. Lineage: Eukaryota; Metazoa; Chordata; Mammalia; Carnivora; Mustelidae.
UCCAGGAUUUGAAGCUAGACCCAAACCCAGCUCUAGCAUUUAUUAGCUACUGCACUUCGAACAAGUUAACCUCUUUAGGAAUCAAUGAUCUUACCAGAGAAGCACAGACAGACUCUACAAAUUUCUGUUUGAGUGAAGAACAUCAUACCUCCCUUGUGGAAUUGCAACUGCUGAGCCAAUGUGACUUCCUCAGAGCCAUGGGUUCAUUCAGUUCUGUCAUGAGAAAAACAUCAGAAAAUUUCUAGCAGUGGGGCAGCCUACCAAAUAUUUGAUCAGUACUCCUCAAAGCUAUCAAGGUCAUCAAAAACAAGAGACAUCUGAGAAACAGCCACAGUCAAGAA